GGACGAAAGUCUGACGGAGCAACGCCGCGUGAGUGAUGAAGGUUUUCGGAUCGUAAAGCUCUGUUGUUAGGGAAGAACAAGUGCAAGAGUAACUGCUUGCACCUUGACGGUACCUAACCAGAAAGCCACGGCUAACUACGUGCCAGCAGCCGCGGUAAUACGUAGGUGGCAAGCGUUGUCCGGAAUUAUUGGGCGUAAAGGGCUCGCAGGCGGUUUCUUAAGUCUGAUGUGAAAGCCCCCGGCUCAACCGGGGAGGGUCAUUGGAAACUGGGAAACUUGAGUGCAGAAGAGGAGAGUGGAAUUCCACGUGUAGCGGUGAAAUGCGUAGAGAUGUGGAGGAACACCAGUGGCGAAGGCGACUCUCUGGUCUGUAACUGACGCUGAGGAGCGAAAGCGUGGGGAGCGAACAGGAUUAGAUACCCUGGUAGUCCACGCCGUAAACGAUGAGUGCUAAGUGUUAGGGGGUUUCCGCCCCUUAGUGCUGCAGCUAACGCAUUAAGCACUCCGCCUGGGGAGUACGGUCGCAAGACUGAAACUCAAAGGAAUUGACGGGGGCCCGCACAAGCGGUGGAGCAUGUGGUUUAAUUCGAAGCAACGCGAAGAACCUUACCAGGUCUUGACAUCCUCUGACAACCCUAGAGAUAGGGCU
This 649-nucleotide ribosomal RNA is filed under the name Bacillus sp. (in: firmicutes). RNAcentral's name for it is "bacterial SSU rRNA". It matches the Rfam family "Bacterial small subunit ribosomal RNA", at positions 373 to 1013 of the family's 1533-position model. Lineage: Bacteria; Bacillati; Bacillota; Bacilli; Caryophanales; Bacillaceae. The record is from RNAcentral.